AAAAGUUCUACCACACGAUAUAGAGUGUUUUCUAUCGAGCCACCGCCCAAUGUUGCUUUGUUUUUUUUUUUGAUGGGGGGUGGGUAACUGAAAUAAACGUGUAUUUAAUAUCAUUGAUUUAAUGAUUCUUAGUUCUAUUUUAUUUUGCUAUCAUACGUUUAUUACAUAGUCGUUUGAAGUUUUGAAAAAUAAGCAUUCUGAAACUCUAAAUUAUAGAGUACGUAGUGAUUUGUUGAAGAAUUAUUUUCUGGAUACGAUUUACCUAUAUUUUAACCAAUCGCUUAUGCAUUAAUAAUUG
Molecule: long non-coding RNA, 298 nt
Filed under: Salvia miltiorrhiza (redroot sage)
Lineage: Eukaryota; Viridiplantae; Streptophyta; Magnoliopsida; Lamiales; Lamiaceae
Description: long non-coding RNA (SMIL_LNC000299)
Source: RNAcentral